This is a long non-coding RNA of Populus trichocarpa (black cottonwood), 1637 nucleotides long. RefSeq lists it as uncharacterized. Lineage: Eukaryota; Viridiplantae; Streptophyta; Magnoliopsida; Malpighiales; Salicaceae. The transcript has 5 exons. The record is from RefSeq and is a predicted model, not a curated record.
UACAAAUACCCCACACUCUCACUACUCGUAACUGGUGAGCCUCUCAAUUGAUCAAAUACACUUAACUUCUGUAAUAAAAAAAGGCUUAAAACAAUAGUAAUAAGAGGCAAGUGAGACCAAAUUCUUUUUUCAUAAAUCGUGAAAGAUAUAGUGGACAUGGAGGGGAGAGAAGAAGAUGCGAGGGUGGGUCAAAAUAGGUAUAGAGAGAGGCAACCCAUAGGAACAGCUGCUCAAACCCAAGAUGUCAGGGACUAUACAGAGCCACCUCCAGCACCACUUCUUGAGCCUGGGGAAUUGUCAUUAUGGUCAUUUUACAGGGCAGGCAUUGCCGAAUUUGUUGCCACUUUUUUGUUCCUUUACAUCACAGUUCUAACUUCUAACUGUAAUGGGGGCGGGAAAAUCCCGCACCAAGUGUCCCACGGUUGGAAUUCAGGGCAUUGCUUGGUCUUUUGGUGGGAUGAUUUUUGCUCUUGUCUAUCGCACUGCUGGCAUUUCAGCAGCAGAAACUACUUUUUCAAGGAGCGAGUGUGUGUCGGUAACAAGUGAAGACAAUGCACAGUUCAUUUUCCUCUCAAUCAAUGAGAAGACAGUGAAAUAAAUCUAACUACACCAGGACGAACAUCUGUCCCAAAAACAAUAGAUUUGGAAAACUUUUACUGGGAGGAGGCUGAUAAUGUUAUUUGCUAGGAGGGUGUGAGAAGAUCACAAUGCCAUUAGGUUGCGUGAUUUCUAAUAUGAGGUGAAAAACAAAUCAGAGAAAUAUUCAAAAGAAAGAGGUCUUCCAUGUUGGGAAGACGUUGUUGUGCAAAGGGAUUUCAAACCUUUAUAUGUCUCAGAGGCUAUAUAGAAUGCUUAUAUCCAUUACAUUAUUUUUUAGCAUUUCAUGUGGCGAUUAUAGUAAGAUGCAAAGAACCGAACAAGGAGAUUCAUGGUUCAAUUACCACGCACAUCAGCAGAUCCAUUAUAUUCAUUUUGCUACUUCUCUUGGACAUGAUUCAAGAUCAAUUGAGCUUUUUGUUGAAAUUCACAUGCGAAAUGAGGAUAGUAAAAAAGCAGUGCAGCGACUCAUUGAUAGCCAAGCUAAGAAGUUCAUGGAAAGUUGGAUUUCAACAAUUGUUUUCUUAAGUUAUUAUUUUUUUAAAAAAAUUUGCUGAUUGUUUUUCCUUGGGAAAUAUUAACACCCGAUUAUAAGAGAUACAAAGACGAUCUUUCAAUCCAUUCAGAACUCGAUCCAUAUUUGUAGUUGGAGGCUAGAUCAUUCGGUAGGCCCAAUAUAAAUUAGAUUUAUGGUAUCUCAAACACUACAAGUGAUGAUAUGCGGAUGAGCCAUAGUGUAUCGACCAUUGAUUCCUCGCAAUCAGGUUUGAGCACCUAAUCUCCGGCUGUCCAAGCGAUUGUACGACCUUGCUUAGUGUUGAGAUGACCCAACUUAGAUCCAAGACUACUUAACUUAGGUGAUUCUAUAAGGAGCUAUUGUCAAAUGUCGGUGGUACAUGAGGUCUACCUUGUUGCCCACUUGGUAUUGAUGAAGAUCAGCCUUCGCCUCCUCCUCCUUCUCAUUCAGCUUCUGUCCUAUAAAAAAAUUGUAUUUAAUAAUAUUUUUAAAAUUUAUAAUAAAAACAUGGUUUUUUAUUUUA